UGUAAAAAUUGGUAACAAUAAUUAAAACUUUAAUUGUAAUUAAUGAAUAUUUUAGAAAGAGUUUUUCUUUUUCUUUUUAAUAAAUUUUUAUUAAUAUUGAAUUUCUUUGGAGAUUUGAUAUAAAAUUAAAUGGAAUAAUAUUAUAUUGAGAUAUUUAAUACUAUUUAGAAGAAUUAAAAUAAAAUUUGAUUUGUAUUGUUUUAAUCUAAAUUAUAUUCAAUAAUCCUUGAAAAUUAAAGUGAUUGAUGUUAACAUAUGAAGUUUAAAAUGGUCGUACUCAUCACCGCAUCAGGUCUCUAAGGUGAAAAGCCUCUAGUUGAUUAGAAAUAAUGCAGGUAAGGAAAGUCGGCAAAUUAGAUCCGUAACUUCGGGAAAUGGAUUGGCUCAUAAAAUUAUAAAAUAAUAAAAUAAUUUUUUUUAUUUGUUAUUAAUUAUAUGACUGAUACGAUACA
RNAcentral lists this ribosomal RNA (452 nucleotides) under uncultured eukaryote. RNAcentral describes it as "eukaryotic LSU rRNA". It matches the Rfam family "Eukaryotic large subunit ribosomal RNA", at positions 1635 to 2126 of the family's 3401-position model. The record is from RNAcentral.